CCCUUAGAUGUCCGGGGCCGCACGCGCGCUACACUUAAGGAAUCAGCGUGGCUUUCUCCCUGACCCGAAAGGGUUGGGAAACCCGUUGAAUAUCCUUCGUGAUAGGGAUUGGGGCUUGAAAUUGUUCCCCAUGAACGAGGAAUUCCCAGUAAGCGCGAGUCAUAAGCUCGCGUUGAUUACGUCCCUGCCCUUUGUACACACCGCCCGUCGCUACUACCGAUUGAACGGUUUAGUGAGGGCCUCGGAUUGGUCUCGGCCCGCUCUUUACCGGGCGGCGCCGUUGGUCGAGAAGACGCUCGAACUUGAUCGUUUAGAGGAAGUAAAAGUCGUAACA
Molecule: ribosomal RNA, 334 nt
Filed under: uncultured eukaryote
Lineage: Eukaryota
Description: partial 18S ribosomal RNA
Rfam family: Eukaryotic small subunit ribosomal RNA
Source: RNAcentral